This 159-nucleotide ribosomal RNA is filed under the name uncultured bacterium. RNAcentral's name for it is "partial 16S ribosomal RNA". It matches the Rfam family "Bacterial small subunit ribosomal RNA", at positions 1342 to 1500 of the family's 1533-position model. The record is from RNAcentral.
UCGCGGAUCAGCAUGCCGCGGUGAAUACGUUCCCGGGCCUUGUACACACCGCCCGUCACACCAUGGGAGCCGGUAAAUACCCGAAGUCAGUAGUCCAACCUCGUGAGGACGCUGCCGAAGGUAGGAUUGGCGACUGGGGUGAAGUCGUAACAAGGUAUC